This 253-nucleotide ribosomal RNA is filed under the name uncultured bacterium. Its description in RNAcentral is "partial 16S ribosomal RNA". It matches the Rfam family "Bacterial small subunit ribosomal RNA", at positions 524 to 776 of the family's 1533-position model. The record is from RNAcentral.
UACGUAGGGUGCGAGCGUUAAUCGGAAUUACUGGGCGUAAAGCGUGCGCAGGCGGCUUCGCCAGUCAGACGUGAAAUCCCCGGGCUUAACCUGGGAAUGGCGUUUGAAACUACGGAGCUGGAGUGUGGCAGAGGGAGGUAGAAUUCCACGUGUAGCGGUGAAAUGCGUAGAUAUGUGGAGGAAUACCGAUGGCGAAGGCAGCCUCCUGGGCCAACACUGACGCUCAUGCACGAAAGCGUGGGGAGCAAACAGG